Xyrichtys novacula (pearly razorfish) is the source of this 11782-nucleotide non-coding RNA. The record is from the annotation of a GenBank genome assembly. NCBI's taxonomy places the organism in Eukaryota, Metazoa, Chordata, Actinopteri, Labriformes, Labridae.
GCUUUCGUCAGUUGACUUGGCGGUUUGAGGUAGGCUGAUCAAGGGCUUGCACUGGCCGGCGCAUGUCGACCUGUCACAUGUUCCAGUCGAGUCUCCGAGCUCAAUCUGUGUGUAAAAAUUAUGUGUUGGUAGAAAGUUUAAUGACUCAGCUCAGUUGGUAUGCUAUGCUGUCUAUCUUUUAGACUAUGUGUUUGUAGAGCAAUAUUAUGUAUAUAUUAUGUUACAGGGCUAGGAAAAGGUUAAAGGUUUUUGGCGUUAGCGUUAAAAUCAAUGUCCAAAACCUUUUUAGGAACUCUUUUCCAACGUUUUGGAGGGAGCUAGACUAGAAAAAAAAGAAAAAAGAAAAAAAAAAUUUGGGGUGUUCGGGCUUCCUGAAGGUAAUACCCGGGUAUUAGGUUAUGGGGCUAGGGUAAGGUUUAAGGCUUUUGGCGUAUGGGUUAAAAUCACUGUCCAAAACCUUUUUAGGAACAUGUUUCAGACCUUUUGGAGUUAGUUAGACCAAAAAAAAUGAAAAAUGAAAAAAAUAUAUUUGGGGUGUUCGGGCUUCCUGAAGGUAAUACCCGGGUAUUAGGUUAGGGGCUAAGGUAAGGUUUAAGGUUUUUGGCGUGAGGGUUAAAAUCACUGUCCAAAACCUUUGUAGGAACUCUUUACCAUCCUUUUGGAGUUAGUUAGACCAAAAAAAAAAAAAAGAAAAAUGAAAAAAAAAUAUUUGGGGUGUUCGGGCUUCCUGAAGGUAAUACCCGGGUAUUAGGUUAUGGGGCUAGGGUAAGGUUUAAGGUUUUUGGCGUAUGGGUUAAAAUCACUGUCCAAAACCUUUUUAGGAACAUGUUUCAGACCUUUUGGAGUUGGUUACACCAAAAAAAAUGUAAAAUGAAAAAAAAUUUUUUUUGGGUGUUCGGGCUUCCUGAAGGUAAUACUAGGUUUCUGGGCUAGGGUAAUGUUUAAGGUUUUUGGCGUUAGGGUUAAAAUCAAUGUCCAAAACCUUUGUAGGAACUCUUUUCCAACCUUUGAGAGCAAGUUAGACCAAAAAUAAAGAAAAAUAAAAAAAUAUAUAUUUGGGGUGUUCGGGCUUCCUGAAGGUAAUACCCGGGUAUUAGGUUUUGGGGCUAGGGUUAGGUUUAAGGUUUUUGGCGUUAGGGUUAAAAUAACUGUCCAAUAUUUUUUAAGGAACAUGUUUCAGACCUUUGGGAGUUAGUUAGACAAAAAAAAAGAAAAAUGAAAAAAAUAUAUUUGGGGUGUUCGGGUUUCCUGAAGGUAAUACCCGGGUAUUAGGUUAUGGGGCUAGGGUAAGGUUUAAGGUUUUUGGCGUUAGGGUUAAAAUCACUGUCCAAUAUUUUUUAAGGAACAUGUUUCAGACCUUUGGGAGUUAGUUAGACGAAAAAAAAAGAAAAAGAAAAAAAAAUAUUUGGGGUGUUCGGGUUUCCUGAAGGUAUUAGGUUUUGGGGCUAGGGUAAGGUUUAAGGUUUUUGGCGUUAGGGUUAAAAUCACUGUCCAAAACCUUUGUAGGAACUCUUUUCCGACCUUUUGGAGUUGGUUACACCAAAAAAAAUGUAAAAUGAAAAAAAAAAUAUUUGGCGUCUUCGGGCUUCCUGAAGGAAAUACCCAGGUAUUAGGUUAUGGGGCUAUAGUAAGGUUAAAGGUUUUUGGCGUUAGGGUUAAAAUCACCGUCCAAAACCUUUGUAGGAACAUGUUUCAGACCUUUUGGAGUUGGUAACACCAAAAAAAAUGUAAAAUGAAAAAAAAAUAUUUGGGGUGUUCGGGCUUCCUGAAGGUAAUACGCGGGUAUUAGGUUUUGGGGCUAGGGUAAGGUUUAAGGUUUUUGGCGUUAGGGUUAAAAUCACUGUCCAAAACCUUUUAAGGAACAAGUUCAGACCUUUUGGAGUUGGUUACACCAAAAAAAAUGUAAAAUGAAAAAAAAAAAUAUUUGGGGUGUUCGGGCUUCCUGAAGGUAAUACCCUUCAGGUUUAAGUAUUAGGUUAUGGGGCUAGGAUUAGGUUUAAGGUUUUUGGGGUAAGGGUUAAAAUCACUGUCCAAUAUUUUUUAAGGAACAUGUUUCAGACCAUUUGGAGCUAGUUUGACCAAAAAAAAAAAGAAAAAGAAAAAAAUAUAUAUUUGGGGUGUUCGGGCUUCCUGAAGGUAAUACCCGGGUAUUAGGUUUUGGGGCUAGGAUUAGGUUUAAGGUUUUUGGCGUUAGGGUUAAAAUCACUGUCCAAUAUUUUUUAAGGAACAUGUUUCAGACCUUUUGGAGUUAGUUCGACCAAAAAAAAAAAGAAAAAAGAAAAAAAAUAUUUUGGGUUUUCGGGCUUCCUGAAGGUAUUAGGUUUUGGGGCUAGUGUAAGGUUUAAGGUUUUUGGCGUUAGGGUUAAAAUCACUGUCCAAAACCUUUAAAGGAACAAGAUUCAGACCUUUUGGAGUUGGUUACACCAAAAAAAAUGUAAAAUGAAAAAAAAUUUUUUUUGGGUGUUCGGGCUUCCUGAAGGUAAUACUAGGUUUCUGGGCUAGGGUAAGGUUUAAGGUUUUUGGCGUUAGGGUUAAAAUCAAUGUCCAAAACCUUUGUAGGAACUCUUUUCCAACCUUUGAGAGCAAGUUAGACCAAAACAAAAAUAAAAAUAAAAAUAUAUAUUUGGGGUGUUCGGGCUUCCUGAAGGUAAUACCCGGGUAUUAGGUUUUGGGGCUAGGGUUAGGUUUAAGGUUUUUGGCGUUAGAGUUAAAAUCAGUGUCCAACACCUUUUUAGGAACAUGUUUAAGACCUUUUGGAGUUGGUUACACCAAAAAAAAUGUAAAAUGAAAAAAAAAAUAUUUGGCGUCUUCGGGCUUCCUGAAGGAAAUACCCAGGUAUUAGGUUAUGGGGCUAUAGUAAGGUUUAAGGUUUUUGGCGUUAGGGUUAAAAUCACUGUCCAAAACCUUUGUAGGAACAUGUUUCAGACCUUUUGGAGUUGGUAACACCAAAAAAAAAUGUAAAAUGAAAAAAAAAUAUUUGGGGUGUUCGGGCUUCCUGAAGGUAAUACCCGGGUAUUAGGUUUUGGGGCUAGGGUAAGGUUUAAGGUUUUUGGCGUUAGGGUUAAAAUCACUGUCCAAAACCUUUUAAGGAACAAGAUUUCAGACCUUUUGGAGUUGGUUACACCAAAAAAAAAUGUAAAAUGAAAAAAAAAAUAUUUGGGGUGUUCGGGCUUCCUGAAGGUAAUACCCGGGUAUUAGGUUAUGGGGCUAGGAUUAGGUUUAAGGUUUUUGGCGUUAGGGUUAAAAUCACUGUCCAAUAUUUUUUAAGGAACAUGUUUCAGACCUUUUGGAGUUAGUUAGACCAAAAGAAAAAAGAAAAAGAAAAAAUAUAUAUUUGGGGUGUUCGGGCUUCCUGAAGGUAAUACCCGGGUAUUAGGUUUUGGGGCUAGGAUUAGGUUUAAGGUUUUUGGCGUUAGGGUUAAAAUCACUGUCCAAUAUUUUUUAAGGAACAUGUUUCAGACCUUUUGGAGUUAGUUCGACCAAAAAAAAAAGAAAAAAGAAAAAAAAUAUUUUGGGUUUUCGGGCUUCCUGAAGGUAUUAGGUUUUGGGGCUAGUGUAAGGUUUAAGGUUUUUGGCGUUAGGGUUAAAAUCACUGUCCAAAACCUUUUAAGGAACAAGAUUCAGACCUUUUGGAGUUGGUUACACCAAAAAAAAUGUAAUAUGAAAAAAAAUUUUUUUUGGGUGUUCGGGCUUCCUGAAGGUAAUACUAGGUUUCUGGGCUAGGGUAAUGUUUAAGGUUUUUGGCGUUAGGGUUAAAAUCAGUGUCCAAAACCUUUGUAGGAACUCUUUUCCAACCUUUGAGAGCAAGUUAGACCAAAACAAAAAUAAAAAUAAAAAUAUAUAUUUGGGGUGUUCGGGCUUCCUGAAGGUAAUACCCGGGUAUUAGGUUUUGGGGCUAGGGUUAGGUUUAAGGUUUUUGGCGUUAGGGUCAAAAUAACUGUCCAAUAUUUUUUAAGGAACAUGUUUCAGAACUUUGGGAGUAAGUUAGACAAAAAAAAAAAAGAAAAAGAAAAAAAAAAUAUUUGGGGUGUUCGGGUUUCCUGAAGGUAAUACCCGGGUAUUAGGUUAUGGGGCUAGGGUAAGGUUUAAGGUUUUUGGCGUUAGGGUUAAAAUCACUGUCCAAAACCUUUUUAGGAACAUGUUUCAGACCUUUUGGAGUUGGUUACACCAAAAAAAAAUGUAAAAUGAAAAAAUAUAUAUUUGGGGUGUUCGGGCUUCCUGAAGGAAAUACCCAGGUAUUAGGUUAUGGGGCUAUAGUAAGGUUAAAGGUUUUUGGCGUUAGGGUUAAAAUCACUGUCCAAAACCUUUGUAGGAACUCUUUUCCAACCUUUUGGAGUUAGUUAGACCAAAAAAAAACGAAAAAUGAAAAAAAAAUAUUUGGGGUUUUUGGGCUUCCUGAAGGUAAUACCCGGGUAUUAGGUUAUGGGGCUAGGGUAAGGUUUAAGGUUUUUGGCGUUAGAGUUAAAAUCAGUGUCCAAAACCUUUUUAGGAACAUGUUUAAGACCUUUUGGAGUUGGUUACACCAAAAAAAAUGUAAAAUGAAAAAAAAAAUAUUUGGGGUCUUCGGGCUUCCUGAAGGUAAUACCCGGGUAUUAGGUUAUGGGGCUAUAGUAAGGUUAAAGGUUUUUGGCGUUAGGGUUAAAAUCACCGUCCAAAACCUUUGUAGGAACAUGUUUCAGACCUUUUGGAGUUGGUAACACCAAAGAAAAAUGUAAAAUGAAAAAGAAAAUAUUUGGGGUGUUCAAGCUUCCUGAAGGUAAUACCCGGGUAUUAGGUUUUGGGGCUAGGGUAAGGUUUAAGGUUUUUGGCGUUAGGGUUAAAAUCACUGUCCAAAACCUUUUAAGGAACAAGAUUCAGACCUUUUGGAGUUGGUUACACCAAAAAAAAUGUAAAAUGAAAAAAAAUAUAUUUGGGGUGUUCGGGCUUCCUGAAGGUAAUACCCUUCAGGUUUAAGUAUUAGGUUAUGGGGCUAGGAUUAGGUUUAAGGUUUUUGGCGUAAGGGUUAAAAUCACUGUCCAAUAUUUUUUAAGGAACAUGUUUCAGACCUUUUGGAGUUAGUUAGACCAAAAAAAAAGAAAAAGAAAAAAUAUUUAUUUGGGGUGUUCGGGCUUCCUGAAGGUAAUACCCGGGUAUUAGGUUAUGGGGCUAGGUUAAGGUUUAAGGUUUUUGUAGUGAGGGUUAAAAUCACUGUCCAAAACCUUUGUAGGACCUCUUUUCAAACCUUUUUGUGUUAGUUAGACAAAAAAAAAAACGAAAAAUUAAAAAAAAAUAUUUGGGGUGUUCGGGCUUCCGGAAGGUAAUACCCGGGUAUUAGGUUAUGGGGCUUUGGAAAGGUUUAAGGCUUUUGGCGUGAGAGUUAAAAUCACUGUCCAAAACCUUUGUAGGAAGUCUUUUCCAACCUUUUGGAGUUAGUUAGACCAAAAAAAAAUGAAAAAUGAAAAAAAAAUAUUUGGGGUGUUCGGGCUUCCUGAAGGUAAUACCCGGGUAUUAGGUUUUGGGGCUAGGAUUAGGUUUAAGGUUUUUGGCGUUAGGGUUAAAAUCACUGUCCAAUAUUUUUUAAGGAACAUGUUUCAGACCUUUUGGAGUUAGUUCGACCAAAAAAAAAGAAAAAAGAAAAAAAAUAUUUGGGGUUUUCGGGCUUCCUGAAGGUAUUAGGUUUUGGGGCUAGUGUAAGGUUUAAGGUUUUUGGCGUUAGGGUUAAAAUCACUGUCCAAAACCUUUUAAGGAACAAGAUUCAGACCUUUUGGAGUUGGUUACACCAAAAAAAAUGUAAAAUGACAAAAAAAAUAUUUGGGGUGUUCGGGCUUCCUGAAGGUAAUACCCUUCAGGUUUAAGUAUUAGGUUAUGGGGCUAGGAUUAGGUUUAAGGUUUUUGGCGUAAGGGUUAAAAUUACUGUCCAAUAUUUUUUAAGGAACAUGUUUCAGACCUUUUGGAGUUAAUUAGACAAAAAAAAAAGAUAAAUGAAAAAAAAAUAUUUGGGGUGUUCGGGCUUCCUGAAGGUAAUACCCGGGUAUUAGGUUAUGGGGCUAGGGUAAGGUUUAAGGUUUUUGGCGUUAGAGUUAAAAUCAGUGUCCAACACCUUUUUAGGAACAUGUUUCAGACCUUUUGGAGUUGGUUACACCAAAAAAAAAUGUAAAAUGAAAAAAAAAUAUUUGGGGUGUUCAAGCUUCCUGAAGGUAAUACCUGGGUAUUAGGUUUUGGGCUAGGGUAAGGUUUAAGGUUUUUGGCGUUAGGGUCAAAAUCACUGUCCAAAACCUUUUAAAGGAACAAGAUUCAGACCUUUUGGAGUUGGUUACACCAAAAAAAAUGUAAAAUGAAAAAAAAAAUAUUUGGGGUGUUCGGGAUUCCUGAAGGUAAUACCCUUCAGGUUUAAGUAUUAGGUUAGGGGGCUAGGAUUAGGUUUAAGGUUUUUGGCGUAAGGGUUAAAAUCACUGUCCAAUAUUUUUUAAGGAACAUGUUUCAGACCUUUUGGAGCUAGUUUGACCAAAAAAAAAAAGAAAAAGAAAAAAUAUAUAUUUGGGGUGUUCGGGCUUCCUGAAGGUAAUACCCUUCAGGUUUAAGUAUUAGGUUAUGGGGCUAGGAUUAGGUUUAAGGUUUUUGGCGUAAGGGUUAAAAUCACUGUCCAAUAUUUUUUAAGGAACAUGUUUCAGACCUUUUGGAGUUAAUUAGACAAAAAAAAAAGAUAAAUGAAAAAAAAAUAUUUGGGGUGUUCGGGCUUCCUGAAGGUAAUACCCGGGUAUUAGGUUAUGGGGCUAGGGUAAGGUUUAAGGUUUUUGGCGUUAGAGUUAAAAUCAGUGUCCAACACCUUUUUAGGAACAUGUUUCAGACCUUUUGGAGUUGGUUACACCAAAAAAAAAAUGUAAAAUGAAAAAAAAAUAUUUGGGGUGUUCGGGCUUCCUGAAGGUAAUACCCGGGUAUUAGGUUUUGGGGCUAGGGUAAGGUUUAAGGUUUUUGGCGUUAGGGUCAAAAUCACUGUCCAAAACCUUUUAAAGGAACAAGAUUCAGACCUUUUGGAGUUGGUUACACCAAAAAAAAUGUAAAAUGAAAAAAAAAAUAUUUGGGGUGUUCGGGAUUCCUGAAGGUAAUACCCUUCAGGUUUAAGUAUUAGGUUAGGGGGCUAGGAUUAGGUUUAAGGUUUUUGGCGUUAGGGUUAAAAUCACUAUCCAAUAUUUUUUAAGGAACAUGUUUCAGACCUUUUGGAGCUAGUUUGACCAAAAAAAAAAGAAAAAGAAAAAAUAUAUAUUUGGGGUGUUCGGGCUUCCUGAAGGUAAUACCCGGGUAUUAGGUUAUGGGGCUAGGUUAAGGUUUAAGGUUUUUGGCGUAAGGGUUAAAAUCACUGUCCAAUAUUUUUUAAGGAACAUGUUUCAGACCUUUUGGAGUUAAUUAGACAAAAAAAAAAGAUAAAUGAAAAAAAAAUAUUUGGGGUGUUCGGGCUUCCUGAAGGUAAUACCCGGGUAUUAGGUUAUGGGGCUAGGGUAAGGUUUAAGGUUUUGGCGUUAGAGUUAAAAUCAGUGUCCAACACCUUUUUAGGAACAUGUUUCAGACCUUUUGGAGUUGGUUACACCAAAAAAAAAAUGUAAAAUGAAAAAAAAAUAUUUGGGGUGUUCAAGCUUCCUGAAGGUAAUACCUGGGUAUUAGGUUUUUGGGGCUAGGGUAAGGUUUAAGGUUUUUGGCGUUAGGGUCAAAAUCACUGUCCAAAACCUUUUAAAGGAACAAGAUUCAGACCUUUUGGAGUUGGUUACACCAAAAAAAAUGUAAAAUGAAAAAAAAAUAUUUGGGGUGUUCGGGAUUCCUGAAGGUAAUACCCUUCAGGUUUAAGUAUUAGGUUAGGGGGCUAGGAUUACGUUUAAGGUUUUUGGCGUAAGGGUUAAAAUAACUAUCCAAUAUUUUUUAAGGAACAUGUUUCAGACCUUUUGGAGCUAGUUUGACCAAAAAAAAAGAAAAAGAAAAAAUAUAUAUUUGGGGUGUUCGGGCUUCCUGAAGGUAAUACCCGGGUAUUAGGUUAUGGGGCUAGGGUAAGGUUUAAGGUUUUUGGCGUUAGAGUUAAAAUCAAUGUCCAAAACCUUUUUAGGAACAUGUUUAAGACCUUUUGGAGCUCGUUAGACAAAAAAAAAAAGAUAAAUGAAAAAAAAAUAUUUGGGGUGUUCGGGCUUCCUGAAGGUAAUAACCGGGUAUUAGGUUAUGGGGCUAGGGUAAGGUUUAAGGUUUUUGGCGUAAGGGUUAAAAUCACUGUCCAAAACCUUUUUAGGAACAUGUUUCAGACCUUUUGGAGUUGGUUACACCAAAAAAAAUGUAAAAUGAAAAGAAAAUUUUUUUGGGUGUUCGGGCUUCCUGAAGGUAAUACUAGGUUAAUGGGGCUAGGGUAAUGUUUAAGGUUUUUGGCGUUAGGGUUAAAAUCAAUGUCCAAAACCUUUGUAGGAACUCUUUUCCAACCUUUGAGAGCAAGUUAGACCAAAACAAAAAGAAAAAUAAAAAAUAUAUUUGGGGUGUUCGGGCUUCCUGAAGGUAAUACCCGGGUAUUAGGUUAUGGGGCUAGGGUAAGGUUUAAGGUUUUUCAGCGUGAGGAUAAAAAUCACCGUCCAAAACCUUUGUAGGAACUCUUUUCCAACCUUUGGGAAUUAGUUAGACAAAAAAAAAAAGGUAAAUGCGUUAGGGUUAAAAUAACUAUCCAAUAUUUUUUAAGGAACAUGUUUCAGACCUUUUGGAGCUAGUUUGACCAAAAAAAAAGAAAAAGAAAAAAAUAUAUAUUUGGGGUGUUCGGGCUUCGUGGAGGUAAUACCCGGGUAUUAGGUUUUGGGGCUAGGGUUAGGUUUAAGGUUUUUGGCGUUAGGGUUAAAAUAACUGUCCAAUAUUUUUUAAGGAACAUGUUUCAGACCUUUGGGAGUUAGUUAAACAAAAAAAAAAGAAAAAGAAAACAAAAAUAUUUGGGGUGUUCGGGCUUCCUGAAGGUAAUACCCGGGUAUUAGGUUAUGGGGCUAGGGUAAGGUUUAAGGUUUUUGGCGUUAGAGUUAAAAUCAAUGUCCAAAACCUUUUUAGGAACAUGUUUAAGACCUUUUGGAGCUCGUUAGACAAAAAAAAAGAUAAAUGAAAAAAAAAUAUUUGGGGUGUUCGGGCUUCCUGAAGGUAAUAACCGGGUAUUAGGUUAUGGGGCUAGGGUAAGGUUUAAGGUUUUUGGCGUAAGGGUUAAAAUCACUGUCCAAAACCUUUUUAGGAACAUGUUUCAGACCUUUUGGAGUUGGUUACACCAAAAAAAAUGUAAAAUGAAAAGAAAAUUUUUUUUGGGUGUUCGGGCUUCCUGAAGGUAAUACUAGGUUAAUGGGCUAGGGUAAUGUUUAAGGUUUUUGGCGUUAGGGUUAAAAUCAAUGUCCAAAACCUUUGUAGGAACUCUUUUCCAACCUUUGAGAGCAAGUUAGACCAAAACAAAAAGAAAAAUAAAAAAUAUAUAAGGGGUGUUCGGGCUUCCUGAAGGUAAUACCCGGGUAUUAGGUUAUGGGGCUAGGGUAAGGUUUAAGGUUUUUCAGCUUGAGGAUAAAAAUCACGGUCCAAAACCUUUGUAGGAACUCUUUUCCAACCUUUGGGAAUUAGUUAGACAAAAAAAAAAAGGUAAAUGCGUUAGGGUUAAAAUAACUAUCCAAUAUUUUUUAAGGAACAUGUUUCAGACCUUUUGGAGCUAGUUUGACCAAAAAAAAAGAAAAAGAAAAAAUAUAUAUUUGGGGUGUUCGGGCUUCGUGAAGGUAAUACCCGGGUAUUAGGUUUUGGGGCUAGGGUUAGGUUUAAGGUUUUUGGCGUUAGGGUUAAAAUAACUGUCCAAUAUUUUUUAAGGAACAUGUUUCAGACCUUUGGGAGUUAGUUAGACAAAAAAAAAAGAAAAAGAAAACAAAAAUAUUUGGGGUGUUCGGGCUUCCUGAAGGUAAUACCUGGGUAUUAGGUUUUGGGGCUAGGGUAAGGUUUAAGGUUUUUGGUGUUAGGGUUAGAAUCACUGUCCAAAACCUUUGUAGGAACUCUUUUCCGACCUUUUGGAGUUAGUUAGACCAAAAAAAAAGAAAAAAGAAAAAAAUAUAUUUGGGGUCUUCGGGCUUCCUGAAGGUAAUGAGGUUAUGGGGCUAGGGUUAGGUUUAAGGUUUUUGGCGUUAGGGUUAAAAUCACUGUCCAAAACCUUUUUAGGAACAUGUUUCAGACCUUUUGGAGUUGGUAACACCAAAAAAAAAUUUAAAAUGAAAAAAAAAAAAAUUGGGGGUGUUCAAGCUUCCUGAAGGUAAUACCCGGGUAUUAGGUUUUGGGGCUAGGGUAAGGUUUAAGGUUUUUGGCGUUAGGGUUAAAAUCACUGUCCAAAACCUUUUAAGGAACAAGAUUCAGACCUUUUGGAGUUGGUUACACCAAAAAAAAUGUAAAAUGAAAAAAAAAAUAUUUGGGGUGUUCAGGCUUCCUUAAGGUAAUACCCUUCAGGUUUAAGUAUUAGGUUAUGGGGCUAGGAUUAGGUUUAAGGUUUUUGGCGUAAGGGUUAAAAUCACUGUCCAAUAUUUUUUAAGGAACAUGUUUCAGACCUUUUGGAGCUAGUUUGACCAAAAAAAAAAAGAAAAAGAAAAAAUAUAUAUUUGGGGUGUUCUGGCUUCCUGAAGGUAAUACCCGGGUAUUAGGUUAUGGGGCUAGGUUAAGGUUUAAGGUUUUUGGCGUGAGGGUUAAAAUCACUGUCCAAAACCUUUGUAGGAAGUCUUUUCCAACCUUUUGGAGUUAGUUAGACAAAAAAAAAAGAUAAAUGAAAAAAAAAUAUUUGGGGUGUUCGGGCUUCCUGAAGGUAAUACCCAGGUAUUAGGUUAUGGGGCUAGGGUAAGGUUUAAGGUUUUUGGCGUAAGGGUUAAAAUCACUGUCCAAAACCUUUUUAGGAACAUGUUUCAGACCUUUUGGAGUUGGUUACACCAAAAAAAAUGUAAAAUGAAAAAAAAUUUUUUUUGGGUGUUCGGGCUUCCUGAAGGUAAUACUAGGUUUCUGGGCUAGGGUAAUGUUUAAGGUUUUUGGCGUUAGGGUUAAAAUCAAUGUCCAAAACCUUUGUAGGAACUCUUUUCCAACCUUUGAGAGCAAGUUAGACCAGAACAAAAAGAACUAGGGCCCCGGUGGGGCACUGUCGGGCCCGAGCCGCGUCGUGCCGCCCCCAGCGUGACCGCCUCCCCCUCCCGAUCGCGUCACACUCAAGGUCCAAAGAUGGUGUGCGCACUUGUCUGUGGUCAUUUCCCAUUAUAAUGAAUGGGAGGCGCAGUUUCUACCAAAACACUCGCUGCAGACAAACUUCAUGUCCUAUUUGAAAAAAGUCUGGACCAUGAGUGAGGGCACAAACACAGCUGGGAUAUAUCCAAAUGGCAGGUUGCUCCUCGUUACGGUGUUGCCUGGAGAGCGAUGCGAUUGAGCCAUUGAGCGAUGGGCAGGAAAAACUUGACUUUUUCUCCUGCCAUGGGGGGGGGGGGAGAAUGUGGAUUCUUUUAAGAAUGUGGAUUUUUUGGUCAUCUUUGGCGCCCCCUAGAACGUAAACCGUGGGGUGCAGCGUCAUGAUUUUUACAACUUUGAAUGGCCAUGGGGUGUAGAUUGGCCUGAGCAAAUUUGGUUUCAGUGGGACGAAAGCCUUAGGAGGAGUUAGCCACAUUCCAAUGUGUGCGAAUCGGCAAAAAAUGCAAAAUAGCCCUCUAACCGUACAUUUGACAGAUACGCACCCAUUGACUUUUUCGUAGAUCUUAUUGAGAUACACGUGAUUGUCAAAUUUUGUGUCAAUAUGACAAAGCGUACAGGUGUC